RNAcentral lists this long non-coding RNA (239 nucleotides) under Pan troglodytes (chimpanzee). RNAcentral's name for it is "long non-coding RNA NONPTRT013424". Lineage: Eukaryota; Metazoa; Chordata; Mammalia; Primates; Hominidae. The record is from RNAcentral.
UUAAAGGACAAGAACAUAAAGAGAAGCCUCCAAAAAUACCGUGGCCCAACUCUCCUUCCUUCCUCUUAAUCUUUAUUUCAUGAGUAGCAUCAGACAUAAUCAAAGGGCAGUUAUUUUAUUAAACAGAUGCUCACUUUGGUUAAAUAUUCUGGGAUUACCUGAGACCCAUUCUGUACAUAAAUGUCUUUUAUGACGUCUAAAGAAAUUGUCAAUAUUCUGAAAGGAGGCUUUUAACAAAA